CGGACAAGCAAGGUGUUAUUCGGCAGUCUGAUCCUGGACCUGCUCGGCUUGAAGGUGGUGCUGCCCGUGUCUCCUGCUCUCCUCGACUGUUACUCCAAGCACAACACCAGCGGCUUGUAUUCCUCUCAGCUCUCCUGUGUGACUUAUUACCAGCAUAUCAUCGGUUUCGCUGCAAGGUUCCAUUCUGUCUUGUUUGGUAAUUAAGUGGGUUUGUUGUGUUUUGUAUUGGUUUAUAUAUUUUUAGCUUGUUUUUAUUAUUAUUUUUUCAAUUUUUUUAUCCUAUUAUCUAUUUAUUUAUUUUUUGUUUGUUUGUUUGUUUACAGGGUGUGUGUGUGUUUGUUUGUGUUCCUGCUGUUCAAUAUUGCAGCUUGUUUUCUUUAUUAUUGUUAUUUUGUGUUUUAUUCUAUUUCAGUGUUCUGAGGGAGUCUUCAGGUGUUUUUGGGGUGUUUUGGGGUGUUUCUGGAGUGUUUUGGGGUGUUUUUGGUGUGUUGUGAAGUGUUUUGAUGUGUUUUGGGGUGGUUAAGGGGUGUUUUGUGGUGUUGUGGAGGUGUUUUGGGAUUUUUGGUGUGUUUUAAAGUGUUUUGGGAUGUUUUUGGAAUGUUUUGAUGUGUUUUGAGAUGUUUAGGAGUAUUUUUGGAGUAUUUUGGUGUGUUUUUUGGAGUGUUUUGGGAUGUGUUUGUAGUGUUUUGGGGUGUUUUGGGGUAUUUUGAAGGUGUUUUGGUGUGUUUUUGGAGUGUUUUGGGGUGUGUUUGUAGUGUUUUGGGGUGUUUUGGGGUAUUUUGAAGGUGUUUUGGUGUGUUUUUGGAGUGUUUUGGGGUAUUUUGGGAUGUUUUGGUGUGUUUUGGGUUAUUUUGAGAGUGUUUUGGUGUGUUUUUGGAGUGUUUCUGGGUGUUUUGGAGUAUUUUGAGGGUGUUUAAAGGUGUUGUGGUAGUUUAAAAUAUAUUGUUAGUUUACUUUUUUUUUACUUUUUAUUUUCUUAUGCAUUAUUUUAUUUCUUAUUUAUAUUGUGGUGUGUUGUCGGUGUGUCCUAACCUAACCUAACCAGCCUACCCUCUCCUAACCUCCCCUCAACCCACAGGCACUGAUUGGCGUGACAUUCAGCAUAGGCUUCACCGUCGGGCACACUGUGGGGGCUGCGUUCUCCCGCUGGGGAAGUACUGGGUGGUUCGCGGCCUCGGCUGUCUACGCACGCACUCUCACUGUGGCUAACAUAAUAUUCUUUGCUGUCUUCUUCCAGGAAUCGCUGCCUGAGGGCAGAAGGAGGAGGGACAUCGGUGCCAGUUUGACCGAGGCUUGGGAGGUGAUCAAUCCUAGGGCUCUGUUCUCCGUCAGCUGUGUCAAGGGCCUGGGCAGAGAAGCCUGGAGUUAACGCUGAUCUUCGCAACCCACCACAAGCAUAGUUACGACUCGUUGGCGCAGGACCGCAAGUUUUCCUUCCUGGGCCUGGUCAUGGCAAUUACACAGAGAGGGUUUAUGCGAAGUGUUAAGACUGGAACUGAAAAAGCAACUGCCAAUUAGGCACACACCUACAUUGUGAUGCAGCUCCUUGGAGGUGGAGAGCUGGCUGCCUCAGAGGAUCGGGAAACACGAGAGGUUCACAGAGGCUCGCCUCGGGCUUCGGUCGUCGUGAGGAACCUGGUGUCAGCAGUUCACUACGUGCACAGGAAAAGCAUCAGUGUUCACGGAGACCUAAAGCCAGACAGGGGUGAAAAGGGUUGGUGUUGAGGAUAGACAGAAAAGAAAAGAAAAGAAAGGAAAGGUAAAAAAAGGAAGUUUUUUUGCAUUGAUUUUCCAUCUGCUUAUUUUAAAGAAUUUAUUGCAUGGAAUAUUAUUGAUCUCCAUCAUUUGUAUGGCCUUUAUAAUAAAAAGUAUGAAUUUA
Scylla paramamosain (green mud crab) is the source of this 1879-nucleotide long non-coding RNA. RefSeq lists it as uncharacterized. Lineage: Eukaryota; Metazoa; Arthropoda; Malacostraca; Decapoda; Portunidae. The transcript is spliced from 4 exons. The record is from RefSeq and is a predicted model, not a curated record.